GAUGAACGCUGGCGGCGUGCCUAAUACAUGCAAGUCGAACGAUCCGCCUUUGGCGGAUAGUGGCGAACGGGUGAGUAACACGUUGGUACCUACCCUGAAGUGGGGAAUAACUGGCCGAAAGGUCGGCUAAUACCGCAUAAUACCGCAAGGUUAAAGUAGCAAUACGCUUCGGGAGGGGCCUGCGUCCCAUUAGCUUGUUGGUGAGGUAACUGCUCACCAAGGCGACGAUGGGUAGCUGGAUCGAGAGGUUGACCAGCCACACUGGGACUGAGAUACGGCCCAGACUCCUACGGGAGGCAGCAGUAAGGAAUCUUCCACAAUGGACGAAAGUCUGAUGGAGCAACGCCGCGUGCAGGAUGACGGUCUUCGGAUUGUAAACUGCUUUUAUAUAGGAAGAUUAUGACGGUACUAUAUGAAUAAGCACCGGCUAACUACGUGCCAGCAGCCGCGGUAACAC
Molecule: ribosomal RNA, 457 nt
Filed under: uncultured bacterium
Lineage: Bacteria
Description: bacterial SSU rRNA
Rfam family: Bacterial small subunit ribosomal RNA
Source: RNAcentral